GCCUAANGACGGGUAGCCGGCCUUAGCGGGUGAACGGCCACANUGGGGACUGAGACACGGGCCUAANGACGGGUAGCCGGCCUUAGCGGGUGAACGGCCACAUGGGGACUGAGACACGGCCCUGACUCCUACGGGAGGCAGCAGUGAGGAAUAUUGCGCAAUGGGCGAAAGCCUGACGCAGCGACGCCGCGUGGGGGAAGAAGGUUUUCGGAUUGUAAACCCCUUUUAGGAGGAAAGAUGGGGUGGGUUUCCACCCGGACGGUGCCUCCAGAAAAAGCCACGGCUAACUUCGUGCCAGCAGCCGCGGUAAUACGAAGGUGGCGAGCGUUGUUCGGAUUUACUGGGCGUAAAGAGCACGUAGGCGGUUUAGUAAGCCCCUUGGGAAAGCUACGGGCUUAACCCGUAAAGGUCGAGGGGGACUGCUAAGCUAGAGGGCGGGAGAGGAGCGCGGAAUUUCCGGUGUAGCGGUGAAAUGCGUA
Molecule: ribosomal RNA, 479 nt
Filed under: uncultured Bacillota bacterium
Lineage: Bacteria; Bacillati; Bacillota
Description: bacterial SSU rRNA
Rfam family: Bacterial small subunit ribosomal RNA
Source: RNAcentral